UAUGUUGGUACCAAGUCGUGAGCUGUCUACGUCAUUUUCGUUUUGGCGGACUCUGAAUGUGAUUGUGAUGAUCGUGGAAUGUGCCGUGAGUCACAACGGCCGCUUACGCGAGUGUCUUUUCUAUUUUAUUAGCGUUAGCUUUAUUAUUCUAUGAUGGAACGGAAAGGCUCAAAAGGAAAAUUCGAUGGCCUCAUCGAGAAAGGGUCUAAAGGUGACCUUUUAGCGGAGAAAGUUAGAAGGAUCAAAAGGAAACUUUCGGAAAGGAAUGUACAUAACGUACCUGCGCUGACCAUCUCUUGCUUGAUUGUCAACGAAAUGAGUGAUAAUGAGAUCUUAAGUGUUCUCUCUACUAAAAAAGAGAGGACAUCUCCUCCUCCUCCACCACCGCCACACGUGACACCUCCAAUUUAUGGCCUACCUGGAUACCCAUACGCAUACCCUUAUGGAUAUCCUCCAUUUUCUUAUGGAAUGGCCACGACAACGGCAAGGGCCCCGCCAGCAGCCCCGCCAGCCGCCGCCCCGCCAGCCGCCGCCCCGCCAGCCGCCGCCCCGCCAGCCGCCGCCCGCCAGCCGCCGCCCCGCCAGCCGCCGCCCCGCCAGCCGCCGCCCCGCCAGCGGCUCCGCCAACCCUACCAACUGCAACGGUUGAUGCGAGCACGGUAUGAAUAAUCUAUAUGGACGGUGUGAGUCGGCAAUCACAAAACUCGUUUGAGGUGUCUAAAAAUCUACGCACCCAUGUUAUUUU
Molecule: long non-coding RNA, 745 nt
Filed under: Bemisia tabaci
Lineage: Eukaryota; Metazoa; Arthropoda; Insecta; Hemiptera; Aleyrodidae
Description: lncRNA ENSSSA2NGG001004
Source: RNAcentral